This 254-nucleotide ribosomal RNA is filed under the name uncultured bacterium. Its description in RNAcentral is "partial 16S ribosomal RNA". It matches the Rfam family "Bacterial small subunit ribosomal RNA", at positions 524 to 776 of the family's 1533-position model. The record is from RNAcentral.
UCCGUAGGGGGCAAUCGUUGUUCGGAUUUACUGGGCGUAAAGGGCGCGUAGGCGGCGCGUAAAGUCGGACAUGAAAUCAUUAGGCUCAACCUAAUGGCUGUGUCCGAUACUUACGUGCUUGGAGUGCGGGAGAGGCAGCCGGAAUUCUCGGUGUAGCGGUGAAAUGCGUAGAUAUCGAGAGGAACACCGGUGACGAAGGUGGGUUGCUGGACCGACACUGACGCUGAGGCGCGAAAGCUAGGGGAGAAAACGGG